This 292-nucleotide unclassified non-coding RNA is filed under the name plant metagenome. RNAcentral describes it as "partial contains small subunit ribosomal RNA, internal transcribed spacer 1, and 5.8S ribosomal RNA". The record is from RNAcentral.
UUUCCGUAGGUGAACCUGCGGAAGGAUCAUUAUUGAAUAAACCUGAUGUGGUUGUAGCUGGCCCUUUCGGGAGCAUGUGCACACCCGUCGUCUUUAUCUUCCCACCUGUGCACCUUUUGUAGACCUGGAUGUAACACUUUCCGAGGCAACUCGGUCGGGAGGAAUGCUGUCAGCUUUCCUUGAAUGUCCAGGCCUAUGUUUUCAUAUACCCCAAAGAAUGUAACAGAAUGUAUUAUUGGGCCUUGUGCCUAUAAACUAUAUACAACUUUCAGCAACGGAUCUCUUGGCUCUC